This 372-nucleotide ribosomal RNA is filed under the name uncultured organism. RNAcentral's name for it is "partial 16S ribosomal RNA". It matches the Rfam family "Bacterial small subunit ribosomal RNA", at positions 527 to 896 of the family's 1533-position model. The record is from RNAcentral.
GUAGGUGGCAAGCGUUGUCCGGAAUUAUUGGGCGUAAAGCGCGCGCAGGCGGUUCUUUAAGUCUGAUGUGAAAGCCCACGGGCUCAACCGUGGAGGGUCAUUGGAAACUGGAGAACUUGAGUACAGAAGAGGAAAGCGGAAUUCCACGUGUAGCGGUGAAAUGCGUAGAGAUGUGGAGGAACACCAGUGGCGAAGGCGGCUUUCUGGUCUGUAACUGACGCUGAGGCGCGAAAGCGUGGGGAGCAAACAGGAUUAGAUACCCUGGUAGUCCACGCCGUAAACGAUGAGUGCUAAGUGCUAGGGGGUUUCCGCCCCUUAGUGCUGCAGCUAACGCAUUAAGCACUCCGCCUGGGGAGUACGGCCGCAAGGCUG